GACGAACGCUGGCGGCGUGCUUAACACAUGCAAGUCGAACGAAGUGGCGAACGGGUGAGUAACGCGUAAUCAACCUGCUCUUCAGAGGGGGACAACAGUUGGAACCGACUGCUAAUACCGCAUACUGAUGGGGGGGAUUGCGUGUGAUUGGCUAGUUGGAGGGGUAACGGCCAACCAAGGCGAUGGUCAGGAGGCGGUCUGAGGGGAUGAACGGCCACAUUGGGAAUGGGACACGGCCCAGACUCCUACGGGAGGCAGCAGUGGGGAAUCUUCCGCAAUGGACGAAAGUCUGACGGAGCAACGCCGCGUGAGUGAUGACGGCCUUCGGGGUGUAAAGCUCUGUUAAGCGGGACGCGGUACCGGAAUAGAAAGCCACGGCUAACUACGUGCCAGCAGCCGCGGUAAUAC
This 408-nucleotide ribosomal RNA is filed under the name uncultured bacterium. RNAcentral describes it as "partial 16S ribosomal RNA". It matches the Rfam family "Bacterial small subunit ribosomal RNA", at positions 28 to 526 of the family's 1533-position model. The record is from RNAcentral.